GGGACCUAUACCCCCGUCAGCUGCAGGAAAGGAACAAAGAGACAGGUGAUUAAUGCCCGGUGAGAGUGUGAAAGGGACCUAUACCCCCGUCAGCAGCAGGAAAGGAACAAAGAGACAGGUGAUUGAUGCCCGGUGAGAGGGUGAAAGGGACCUAUACCCCCGUCAGCUGCAGGAAAGGAACAAAGAGACAGGUGAUUAAUGCCCGGUGAGAGGGUGAAAGGGACCUAUACCCCCGUCAGCUGCAGGAAAGGAACAAAGAGACAGGUAAUUAAU
Hyla sarda is the source of this 273-nucleotide long non-coding RNA. RefSeq lists it as uncharacterized. The record is from RefSeq and is a predicted model, not a curated record. Lineage: Eukaryota; Metazoa; Chordata; Amphibia; Anura; Hylidae. The transcript is spliced from 4 exons.